GGGGAUUUAGCUCAGUGGCAUAAGUGCCUGCCUUGCAAGCAUGUGAUUGUGAGUUCAAUCCCCA
RNAcentral lists this transfer RNA (64 nucleotides) under Cavia porcellus (domestic guinea pig). It matches the Rfam family "tRNA", at positions 1 to 62 of the family's 71-position model. From Rfam's summary of the family: Transfer RNA (tRNA) molecules are approximately 80 nucleotides in length. Their secondary structure includes four short double-helical elements and three loops (D, anti-codon, and T loops). Lineage: Eukaryota; Metazoa; Chordata; Mammalia; Rodentia; Caviidae. The record is from Rfam by way of RNAcentral.